GGGCGUAUAGCUCAGUUGGGAGAGCGUCUGCCUUACAAGCAGAAUGUCGGCAGUUCGAGCCUGUCUACGCCC
This 72-nucleotide transfer RNA is filed under the name Pontibacterium sinense. It matches the Rfam family "tRNA". From Rfam's summary of the family: Transfer RNA (tRNA) molecules are approximately 80 nucleotides in length. Lineage: Bacteria; Pseudomonadati; Pseudomonadota; Gammaproteobacteria; Oceanospirillales; Oceanospirillaceae. The record is from Rfam by way of RNAcentral.